CAAAGUUAAUAAAUAGUAAGUAAUUUCAAGAAUAAAAUGGCUAGCGGUAAUUGUAACCCCUAGCUCAAAAUAUCCCAAACUCACGUUUGGCUCUUUCAAUUUUAAUUAAUACGGCAAAACAAGUGCUCAGUAACGAGCUGCGGAAAUGCAACAUCUAUAGUGCGACAUGUCAGGAAAUAGUAUAGUUCACUCGCGCAAGAUGACAGACAUAAAUAGAAUAUUUGCUUGCGAAUAGGAAUUUUAUGUCUCUCAUCUUGUUAUAAUAAUCAUAUUAAUUAACUUUGCCAAGGGUGUGGAGGAAACCUGCUUUGCAAAGAUAAAACUUUAGCUGUAGGCAAAUAGUUUAACUGAUGGAACAACUAGAUUAUUUACAGGGUGCUGUCAUAUAGACACACUCAAACAUUUUACGUUUAGUCGCUUAUAGUCAGCUGUCGAGCCAAGUCAUUAAUCUUUUCAGCAGUAAUUUGUAUACAUCCCACCUCCUCCCCAUGCCUGCAUCCAUCAUCCUGGUG
Molecule: non-coding RNA, 512 nt
Organism: Paramuricea clavata
Lineage: Eukaryota; Metazoa; Cnidaria; Anthozoa; Malacalcyonacea; Plexauridae
Source: the annotation of a GenBank genome assembly